Molecule: long non-coding RNA, 2218 nt
Organism: Solenopsis invicta (red fire ant)
Lineage: Eukaryota; Metazoa; Arthropoda; Insecta; Hymenoptera; Formicidae
Exons: 3
Source: RefSeq, a predicted model, not a curated record
AUUCGUAGGAAACUGCAGUCGAGGCUGUGAGGAAAAAAUGUGGCACAAGACCUCGCGAGUCGAUGCGGCGCGGCGUGUCGCGUUGCACUCGCGGUAUCGGAUACCUCGCGCACGACGACGAGGACGACGAGGACGACGGAGCUCCACGAUCACCGGUCGCCGGUCUCGCGACGAAUGAAUCCGCGAACGUCCCGAUAACGAUGAUUAAUGGACGAUAAGGCGGCAACAAGCUGCCAACAGCUUGUGCAACAGCGAGCCGUCACCUGAUCGCGGAGUAAAGCGAGGCAGUGAUUUGUCGGCGAGAAAACGCUCAACCACACUCGGAAAAAUAAUAUCCAGAUUUAUCUCCGAACAAAAAAAUGAGGAACGUAUGCUCGCGCGAAAUCACUUUGUGCCGAGGUACACUUUAAUCUAGAUACAUACGUUCUAAUCUAGAGAGACACACAGUGUCGUUCCCGUUAUUCUCAUUAUCCCGGCGAUCUGAAGACAGUCGAGAUACAGUUCGAGAAUAAUUAUUAGUAAUUGAUAUUUGCGACAGACUUGUUAUUCGACAAUCGAGUAAAUCGUUGCAAAUAUUAUCUUGUAAAAAGAAGGAAAUUAUAGACGUAUUAGGAAUAAUCGUGAUGCGCGCACUCGAGCAAUUAAUAAACUUGCUAAUACGUAACUUCCGCAAUCGAGCGAGGUCUACCUUCGCACGAAUAUCGCUCGUACAUUUUCCUCGCCGCGCGGUAAUACAAGAACUGAAACAAAACGUCGGGGAAUACGUGACUUUAAGGUGUGCAAAAAGUGCUCGCUAUCUCUUCGUCGUUUCAACAAUACUACCGAGCGCGUCGCGGCGACCGAUGUGUGCGUAGGUAUACACACAGGUAAACAUAUCGGCGCGUCAGCAACGUACGCACGCACGUAUGUACAAUACACGCGCUACGUACGUGGUCUGCACGCCACACCGACGACGCCGACUAUUCCGGGGUCUUCAUAAUUUCGUGCUCUUAUCUGUUUGCACCGAGCGGCGGAUCCUUGCUUAGCGGUUGUGUAAUUAAAAACGCGCUACUCGAGCCGCCUGCAGUUAGCUACGCCUCGAAAAUGCCCUCAGUCGAGAAAAAGCACGCAGGUCGAAAGACUCGUAUCUUCGCCAUCUGUUUUCUUCGACAUCUCGUUAAAGCGAAAUUAACUCGAUACACGAGCUAGAAGCGGCUAUUGUUUUCACACGCGCCGUACAUCCAUGUAUGUGCUUUCGCGUAAUCAUUUUAAUUCCACGCUGUUAAUUACGAUCACCUACCUACGGUGAGCUAUCGUAAUUGAUAUCGCGCGUGAAACCUUCCAUUACGUUUCGAUUGAUUUUAACUUAGGUCUCUCUUAUUUGAUAACUUAUUGAUGAUCCUUUACUAUAUUCCAGCUUUUUGCAAUUUGUUCUACAUUUCGUUAAAAAUUUAUUGAUAUUUAAAAAUUAAUUUAAUUCAUUGUGUUAACGUUGGAACAAUAUUGAUUCGCACGAUGUUAAAUGCUUGAUCGCAAUUACAUCGUGCAAUACGUCACUAAUCGCUCCGAAAGAUAAUACGCUUAUCACUGAACAGUACAUCAGACUGGCGUCAGGUGGACAAUUGUUAUCGCAUAAAAGUUGGAGUUUCGCAUAUUUCGAAUUCCGAACACGUGGCAAAGUUGAAGAAGAUCCGUGAUCGAUUUUAUCUUCAACGUCGGUCUUACCUGCUGCGCUCGCCUCUGCAACUCCUGCGUGAUGGCGGUGCUCAGAUCGGUGCUGGCGAUCGGCGACGUCCUGGCGACAUCCUUGCGCGGCGUCGCGUACGUGGCCGUCGAGGUGUCCGUCGUUUUGCUAGCGACGCUUCCGGACCCGGCACCGGUCGCCACCGAACCGUAAGAGACGGUGGACGCCGGCUCGCAGGACGACGUCGACAGGGACGAUGAUGUCGACGCAGAAUCCUUGCUGCAAGACGACUCGAGGCUCGACUCGGUCUCCGUCGAGCCGGUACUGCCCAUCGACAUGGUGCUGCCCAUUUGCAUGCCCAUGGCGUUCAUUGGUUUGGUCUCUGUAACGGAACCGACUGCGUAAAGAGGAUUUCUUUCGACUUGGCGCUCGAGAGAACGCGGUCAUGUUAUUAUUCUAACGAUGCUGCGGGAAAAGCCGUCAAACCUGCUGGCCAUUUGUAAGGAAGUGGCGGCGGAGGUGCAGGUGGACAAACCGACUGAUGCACCUCUACAG